UUUGAUUCCCGUAACAGAGCAGCAGUGAGCAUUGAAACACAGAUUUCUGUAUGUGACCAACCUGCUUGAAGGGCAAUAGACCCCCUUUUGGCGCUUUUUGACCUUCGUUUUUCCAUCUAAAUGCUUUGCCCUGAAUCUGGAUUUCUUUGAAAGUUUGUGGUCGCUGCCGUUGAAAAAUGUUCAGUCUCUCUUGGGCAGUGAUAAAAACUGGUAAAUUCAGCAGCUUCAU
Molecule: long non-coding RNA, 229 nt
Filed under: Theobroma cacao (cacao)
Lineage: Eukaryota; Viridiplantae; Streptophyta; Magnoliopsida; Malvales; Malvaceae
Description: long non-coding RNA (TCAC_LNC001387)
Source: RNAcentral